RNAcentral lists this ribosomal RNA (447 nucleotides) under uncultured bacterium. RNAcentral's name for it is "bacterial SSU rRNA". It matches the Rfam family "Bacterial small subunit ribosomal RNA", at positions 329 to 793 of the family's 1533-position model. The record is from RNAcentral.
UUCCAGACUCCUACGGGAGACAGCAGUGGGGGAUAUUGCACAAUGGGGGGAACCCUGAUGCAGCGACGCCGCGUGGGUGAAGAAGCGCCUCGGCGCGUAAAGCCCUGUCAGCAGGGAAGAAAAUGACGGUACCUGAAGAAGAAGCCCCGGCUAACUACGUGCCAGCAGCCGCGGUAAUACGUAGGGGGCAAGCGUUAUCCGGAUUUACUGGGUGUAAAGGGGGCGCAGACGGCGAUGCAAGCCAGGAGUGAAAGCCCGGGGCCCAACCCCGGGACUGCUCUUGGAACUGCGUGGCUGGAGUGCAGGAGGGGCAGGCGGAAUUCCUGGUGUAGCGGUGAAAUGCGUAGAUAUCAGGAGGAACACCGGUGGCGAAGGCGGCCUGCUGGACUGCAACUGACGUUGAGGCCCGAAAGCGUGGGGAGCAAACAGGAUUAGAUACCCCCGUAC